This 402-nucleotide ribosomal RNA is filed under the name uncultured bacterium. RNAcentral's name for it is "bacterial SSU rRNA". It matches the Rfam family "Bacterial small subunit ribosomal RNA", at positions 29 to 437 of the family's 1533-position model. The record is from RNAcentral.
AUUGAACGCUGGCGGCAUGCCUUACACAUGCAAGUCGAACGGUAACGCGGGGCAACCUGGCGACGAGUGGCGAACGGGUGAGUAAUGCAUCGGAACGUGCCCAGUAGUGGGGGAUAGCCCGGCGAAAGCCGGAUUAAUACCGCAUACGACCUACGGGUGAAAGCGGGGGACCGUAAGGCCUCGCGCUGUUGGAGCGGCCGAUGUCAGAUUAGGUAGUUGGUGGGGUAAAGGCCUACCAAGCCUUCGAUCUGUAGCUGGUCUGAGAGGACGACCAGCCACACUGGGACUGAGACACGGCCCAGACUCCUACGGGAGGCAGCAGUGGGGAAUUUUGGACAAUGGGCGCAAGCCUGAUCCAGCCAUGCCGCGUGCGGGAAGAAGGCCUCGGUUGUAACGACUUUG